Molecule: ribosomal RNA, 253 nt
Filed under: uncultured bacterium
Lineage: Bacteria
Description: partial 16S ribosomal RNA
Rfam family: Bacterial small subunit ribosomal RNA
Source: RNAcentral
UACGUAGGUGGCAAGCGUUGUCCGGAUUUAUUGGGGUUAAAGGGUGCGUAGGCGGUCUAUUAAGUCAGUGCUGAAAUAUCCCGGCUUAACCGGGAGGGUGGCAUUGAUACUGAUGGACUUGAGUAGAGUCGAGGUAGGCGGAAUUGACGGUGUAGCGGUGAAAUGCUUAGAUAUCGUCAAGAACACCUAUAGCGAAGGCAGCUUACUAGGCUCUAACUGACACUGAGGCACGAAAGUGUGGGGAUCAAACAGG